RNAcentral lists this long non-coding RNA (298 nucleotides) under Dermacentor andersoni. Its description in RNAcentral is "uncharacterized LOC126545469". Lineage: Eukaryota; Metazoa; Arthropoda; Arachnida; Ixodida; Ixodidae. The record is from RNAcentral.
UGCGCCUUGGUAGCAGGCGAAACACAAGCGCCACUAGAACAAGCACUUGACGAGGUGGUCGUGGAUCGUCAUGCCCAACGCUGCCGAACAGAUGACGUUAUCACAGCGCUGCAGAAGUGAUGGAAGUCCCUGGGGAAUAAAUUUCGGCGCCUGGGAAGACGUUUCAGAAAGAAAAGAGCUGCGCCGUGCCAGUCGACGUUCACGACGACGUCAUCUGGCUGUUUUUCGACCAGAUGUUGUUUCUGCGCUACACAAUGGAGUGUAGACCGAUGUCCGCCAACCUUCCACCAGUGCCCCC